Molecule: non-coding RNA, 468 nt
Organism: Cinara cedri
Lineage: Eukaryota; Metazoa; Arthropoda; Insecta; Hemiptera; Aphididae
Source: the annotation of a GenBank genome assembly
CUGGAAAAAACCCGUAUUUAUCUGGAACGUAAUAUAAUUCCGGAAUUCAAAAAGACGAAAACUGUAUUUAUCUGCAGGAGCUUAUAUAUAUAUUGGUUAUCAACGUAAUACAUUUAUUUGCUUGUUACUUUGGCUUUUAUUUUGAUUUCACCAUUCAUUUGUGGCCGGUUUGUGUUGUUUUGUAACGUUAUUAGUUUCGUUUGUAGACAUUUUGUAUUUAUCGCCGGAACGUAUUCAUCCGAAAUUCCGGACCGAACAUGCCUGAAAUCUAAAAAUCUAAAAGCAGUAUUUGUUCAGAAAGUUUAAUUCUGAAAUUAGUAUUUUAAGCAAUAUAGUAAUGGCAAUUAUGAAUUACGGAAUUAUACAUUCUGGACAAAUAUAGUUUUUGAUUUUUAUUUUCCGGGCGAAUAUGGUCUGUGGUAAUACUUUCCAGAUUGUUGUUUAGUCGUGGUAUCAUCUUUAUGAAAU